RNAcentral lists this ribosomal RNA (468 nucleotides) under uncultured bacterium. RNAcentral describes it as "partial 16S ribosomal RNA". It matches the Rfam family "Bacterial small subunit ribosomal RNA", at positions 28 to 507 of the family's 1533-position model. The record is from RNAcentral.
GACGAACGCUGGCGGCGUGCUUAACACAUGCAAGUCGAACGGAAAGGCCCUGCUUUUGUGGGGUGCUCGAGUGGCGAACGGGUGAGUAACACGUGAGUAACCUGCCCUUGACUUUGGGAUAACUUCAGGAAACUGGGGCUAAUACCGGAUAGGAGCUCCUGCUGCAUGGUGGGGGUUGGAAAGUUUCGGCGGUUGGGGAUGGACUCGCGGCUUAUCAGCUUGUUGGUGGGGUAGUGGCUUACCAAGGCUUUGACGGGUAGCCGGCCUGAGAGGGUGACCGGCCACAUUGGGACUGAGAGACGGCCCAGACUCCUACGGGAGGCAGCAGUGGGGAAUAUUGCACAAUGGGCGGAAGCCUGAUGCAGCAACGCCGGGUGCGGGAUGACGGCCUUCGGGUUGUAAACCGCUUUCGCCUGUGACGAAGCGUGAGUGACGGUAAUGGGUAAAGAAGCACCGGCUAACUACGUG